UACGUAGGUGGCAAGCGUUGUCCGGAUUUAUUGGGUUUAAAGGGUGCGUAGGCAGCUUUGUAAGUCAGUGGUGAAAUAUGGCAGCUCAACUGUCAAGGUGCCAUUGAUACUGCGGAGCUUGAGUACAGAUGAGGUAGGCGGAAUUGACGGUGUAGCGGUGAAAUGCUUAGAUAUCGUCAAGAACACCUAUAGCGAAGGCAGCUUACUAGGCUGUAACUGACGCUGAGGCACGAAAGUGUGGGGAUCAAACAGG
This 253-nucleotide ribosomal RNA is filed under the name uncultured bacterium. RNAcentral's name for it is "partial 16S ribosomal RNA". It matches the Rfam family "Bacterial small subunit ribosomal RNA", at positions 524 to 776 of the family's 1533-position model. The record is from RNAcentral.